RNAcentral lists this ribosomal RNA (329 nucleotides) under uncultured eukaryote. RNAcentral's name for it is "partial 18S ribosomal RNA". It matches the Rfam family "Eukaryotic small subunit ribosomal RNA", at positions 1470 to 1796 of the family's 1831-position model. The record is from RNAcentral.
CCCUUAGAUGUCCUGGGCCGCACGCGCGCUACGCUGAGUGUCUGAGAUACGAGUCUGCCUGGUCCGGCAAGGUCUAGGUAAUCGCUAAAAGACACAUCAUGCUUGGGAUAGAUUAUUGCAAAUAUUAAUCUUGAACGAGGAAUUCCUAGUAAGCGCAAGUCAACAGCUUGCGUUGAUUACGUCCCUGCCCUUUGUACACACCGCCCGUCGCUACUACUGAUUGGAUGUUUAAGCGAGGUUCUCGAACUGCUAGCGACUUAGCUUCGGUGAGGUCGCAGUGUGGGAAGUGAACCUAGCUUUGGUGUCUAGAGGAAGUAAAAGUCGUAACA